This is an RNA transcript of Hermetia illucens (black soldier fly), 521 nucleotides long. RefSeq lists it as uncharacterized. The record is from RefSeq and is a predicted model, not a curated record. The transcript has 3 exons. NCBI's taxonomy places the organism in Eukaryota, Metazoa, Arthropoda, Insecta, Diptera, Stratiomyidae.
GCAGUUCUUGUCAAACCUUGCUUGAUUCACGGUAAUUUGAAAGAUGUCGCGAAUAUGGUUGUUCAAAAGUAUUCAUUGCAUGGGACAGUAACCGGAUCGGACGUCAGAUGGUGUUUUACCUUCCUUAAUAACCCGGUUUAAGAACUCACUGAGCCACAGCGUGUAUUCCCAGCUGUUCGCUUUCCGAAGCUCAGAUGCGAUGUCUGCAGGUCCUGUUGCUUUUCCUGAUUUUAUUUGUUUGAUUGCUUCCUUGUCUUUUAGUGGCGCUGACAGAUGGAAUUGCUCCAAAUAUCGGCAAUGGUUGUAGAAGUGGAGAAUUAAUUAAUUGUUUUGCUGAAAUCUGCUCGACAUAUUCCCGCCAUCUAAACGUUGCGGCUCGUCGAUCGGAGUUCCACGUUCUGCAAUACGAUGAAUAUGUUGACGAAGAAAAAAAGAAAAUAUUCCCAAGCACAAGUAAUGGCGAAUAUACCGCCAUACUUUACGUAAAAUACAUAGCGGACACCAACAGCCCACCCUAGCCG